RNAcentral lists this ribosomal RNA (1675 nucleotides) under Oleiphilus sp. HI0072. Its description in RNAcentral is "bacterial LSU rRNA". It matches the Rfam family "Bacterial large subunit ribosomal RNA", at positions 1 to 1730 of the family's 2925-position model. The record is from RNAcentral. Lineage: Bacteria; Pseudomonadati; Pseudomonadota; Gammaproteobacteria; Oceanospirillales; Oleiphilaceae.
GUUAUAUAGUUAAGUGACUAAGCGCAUACGGUGGAUGCCUUGGCAGUCAGAGGCGAUGAAGGACGUAGUAACCUGCGAUAAGCGUUGGUAAGCUGGUAAACAAGCUUUGACCCAACGAUUUCCGAAUGGGGAAACCCAUCUAACAUAAGUUAGAUAUCUUGCACUGAAUACAUAGGUGUAAGAAGCAAACCCGGAGAACUGAAACAUCUAAGUACCCGGAGGAAAAGAAAUCAACCGAGAUUCCCUUAGUAGCGGCGAGCGAACGGGGAUUAGCCGAUGAUUAUUGAAUUAGUGGAACGCUCUGGGAAGUGCGGCCAUAGUGGGUGAUAGCCCCGUACACGAAGAUUCAAUAGUCACAUAUUAAGUAGGACGGGACACGUGUUAUCUUGUCUGAAGAUGGGGGGACCAUCCUCCAAGGCUAAAUACUCCUGACUGACCGAUAGUGAACCAGUACCGUGAGGGAAAGGCGAAAAGAACCCCUGUGAGGGGAGUGAAAUAGAUCCUGAAACCGUAUGCGUACAAGCAGUGGGAGCAGACUUGUUCUGUGACUGCGUACCUUUUGUAUAAUGGGUCAGCGACUUAAUUUUAGUAGCAAGGUUAACCGUAUAGGGGAGCCGUAGGGAAACCGAGUCUUAAUAGGGCGUUUAGUUGCUGGGAUUAGACCCGAAACCGAGUGAUCUAGCCAUGAGCAGGUUGAAGAUCAGGUAACACUGAUUGGAGGACCGAACCCACUUAUGUUGAAAAAUGAGGGGAUGACUUGUGGCUAGGAGUGAAAGGCUAAUCAAACUCGGAGAUAGCUGGUUCUCCUCGAAAGCUAUUUAGGUAGCGCCUCGUGUAUCACCCUGGGGGGUAGAGCACUGUUUGGGCUAGGGGGUCAUCCCGACUUACCAACCCCAUGCAAACUCCGAAUACCCAGGAGUGCGAUCACGGGAGACACACGGCGGGUGCUAACGUCCGUCGUGGAGAGGGCAACAACCCAGACCGCCAGCUAAGGUCCCAAAGUUACAGUUAAGUGGGAAACGAUGUGGGAAGGCUUAGACAGCUAGGAGGUUGGCUUAGAAGCAGCCAUCCUUUAAAGAAAGCGUAAUAGCUCACUAGUCGAGUCGGCCUGCGCGGAAGAUUUAACGGGGCUCAAACUGUACACCGAAGCUGCGGAUAUCUUUUAGAUAUGGUAGAGGAGCGUUCUGUAAGCUGAUGAAGCUCAAUUGAGAAGUUGGGUGGAGGUAUCAGAAGUGCGAAUGCUGACAUGAGUAACGACAAAGGGGGUGAAAAACCCCCUCGCCGGAAGACCAAGGGUUCCUGCGCAACGUUAAUCGGCGCAGGGUGAGUCGGCCCCUAAGGCGAGGCUGAGAAGCGUAGUCGAUGGGAAACAGGUUAAUAUUCCUGUACUUGUAUAUAUUGCGAUGGGGAGACGGAGAAAGCUAAACCAGCAUGGCGACGGUUGUCCAUGUUUAAGGUUGUAGGCUGAGGACUUAGGCAAAUCCGGGUCCUUAAGGCUGAGAACUGAUGACGAGAUCUCUUUUAGAGAUUGAAGUGGUUGAUGCUCUGCUUCCAGGAAAAACCUCUAAGCUUCAGAUAUAUAGGAACCGUACCCCAAACCGACACAGGUGGUCAGGUAGAGAAUACCAAGGCGCUUGAGAGAACUCGGGUGAAGGAACUAGGCAAAAUGGUACCG